UAGGGAAUCUUCCACAAUGGGCGAAGCCUGAUGGAGCAACGCCGCGUGUGUAAUGAAGGCUUUCGGGUCGUAAAGCACUGUUGUAUGGGAAGAACAGCUAGAAUAGGAAAUGAUUUUUAGUUUGACGGUACCAUACCAGAAAGGGACGGCUAAAUACGUGCCAC
This 164-nucleotide ribosomal RNA is filed under the name uncultured bacterium. Its description in RNAcentral is "partial 16S rRNA". It matches the Rfam family "Bacterial small subunit ribosomal RNA", at positions 355 to 511 of the family's 1533-position model. The record is from RNAcentral.